GAUGAACGCUGGCGGCGUGCUUAACACAUGCAAGUCGAACGAUGAAGCCCAGCUUGUUGGGCGGAUUAGUGGCGAACGGGUGAGUAACACGUGAGUAACCUGCCCUUGACUCUGGGAUAAGCCCGGUAAACUGGGUCUAAUACCGGAUAGGAGAGCCUGUCGCACGCCGGGUGCUGUAGAGAUCUUUCGGUUAUGGAUGGACUCGCGGCCUAUCAGCUUGUUGGUGAGGUAACGGCUCACCAAGGGGACGACGGGUAGCCGGCCUGAGAGGGUGACCGGCCACACUGGGACUGAGACACGGCCCAGACCCCUACGGGAGGCAGCAGUGGGGAAUAUUGCACAAUGGGCGAAAGCCUGAUGCAGCGACGCCGCGUGAGGGAUGACGGCCUUCGGGUUGUAAACCUCUUUCAGCAGGGAAGAAGCGAAAGUGACGGUACCUGCAGAAGAAGCACCGGCUAACUACGUG
RNAcentral lists this ribosomal RNA (466 nucleotides) under uncultured bacterium. Its description in RNAcentral is "partial 16S ribosomal RNA". It matches the Rfam family "Bacterial small subunit ribosomal RNA", at positions 28 to 507 of the family's 1533-position model. The record is from RNAcentral.